This 465-nucleotide ribosomal RNA is filed under the name Vreelandella stevensii. RNAcentral describes it as "partial 16S ribosomal RNA". It matches the Rfam family "Bacterial small subunit ribosomal RNA", at positions 338 to 795 of the family's 1533-position model. The record is from RNAcentral. Lineage: Bacteria; Pseudomonadati; Pseudomonadota; Gammaproteobacteria; Oceanospirillales; Halomonadaceae.
CCUACGGGAGGCUGCAGUGGGGAAUAUUGGACAAUGGGGGGAACCCUGAUCCAGCCAUGCCGCGUGUGUGAAGAAGGCCCUCGGGUUGUAAAGCACUUUCAGUGAGGAAGAACGCCUGGUGGUUAAUACCCAUCAGGAAAGACAUCACUCACAGAAGAAGCACCGGCUAACUCCGUGCCAGCAGCCGCGGUAAUACGGAGGGUGCGAGCGUUAAUCGGAAUUACUGGGCGUAAAGCGCGCGUAGGUGGCUUGAUAAGCCGGUUGUGAAAGCCCCGGGCUCAACCUGGGAACGGCAUCCGGAACUGUCAAGCUAGAGUGCAGGAGAGGAAGGUAGAAUUCCCGGUGUAGCGGUGAAAUGCGUAGAGAUCGGGAGGAAUACCAGUGGCGAAGGCAGCCUUCUGGACUGACACUGACACUGAGGUGCGAAAGCGUGGGUAGCAAACAGGAUUAGAUACCCGAGUAGUC